UCAAGUGAACCAUUGCAUUGUAAGUCAGUUACGUCUUUGCUGAAAAGGUCUGCUAAAGAUUCAACUUCAGGUUUCCUGUAGUCCAGUAACCUGUGAUAGAACACGCAUAGAUACCACAUCUUCUGCAAUCUUUCACUUUCACCUUCAAACCUAACAACUUACUGUUAAAUUGGAAAAUGUAUUCUAAGGGGAAGAUAUCAGUACCG
Molecule: unclassified non-coding RNA, 206 nt
Filed under: Hevea brasiliensis (rubber tree)
Lineage: Eukaryota; Viridiplantae; Streptophyta; Magnoliopsida; Malpighiales; Euphorbiaceae
Source: RNAcentral